AAAUCUAAAAAAUGGCUUGUAAGAAACCGAUUGUAAAAUUUAAACCUUAAAAUUAUCUUUGAUAGAUUAAGCUCAGAGCUUGGGACCUAUACAGCUGUAAGGAUAGGCAAGUUCUUUAAUUUUGCACUAAUUGAAUAUUGAGUGUGACCACACUGGAUUUUUAUCCAAAGAUUUUGCACUUCAGCCAAUGAUUUAUCCCCUUUUGCACGGUUCAAAGAGUUAGCUUUUCUACUUAUUAUUAUUUGUGCUUUUU
Molecule: long non-coding RNA, 253 nt
Filed under: Cicer arietinum (chickpea)
Lineage: Eukaryota; Viridiplantae; Streptophyta; Magnoliopsida; Fabales; Fabaceae
Description: long non-coding RNA (CARI_LNC001025)
Source: RNAcentral